UACGAAGGGGGCUAGCGUUGUUCGGAAUUACUGGGCGUAAAGCGCGCGCAGGCGGCUAUCCAAGUCAGUGGUGAAAGCCCGGAGCUCAACUCCGGAACUGCCAUUGAAACUGUUUAGCUUGAGGAUGAGAGAGGUGAGUGGAAUUCCCGGUGUAGUGGUGAAAUGCGUAGAUAUCGGGAGGAACACCAGUGGCGAAGGCGACUUCCUGGCCUGUUCUUGACGCUGAGGCGCGAAAGCUAGGGGAGCAAACGGG
RNAcentral lists this ribosomal RNA (253 nucleotides) under uncultured bacterium. RNAcentral's name for it is "partial 16S ribosomal RNA". It matches the Rfam family "Bacterial small subunit ribosomal RNA", at positions 524 to 776 of the family's 1533-position model. The record is from RNAcentral.